Long non-coding RNA from Calidris pugnax (ruff), 1972 nucleotides. RefSeq lists it as uncharacterized. The record is from RefSeq and is a predicted model, not a curated record. Lineage: Eukaryota; Metazoa; Chordata; Aves; Charadriiformes; Scolopacidae. The transcript is spliced from 6 exons.
GAUAAAUAACUUGCGUGCACGAUCUAGAGCAGUUUUGUUGGGAUCUCCAGCAACACCAUCACACCAUCUCUCAACGAUUCUGUGGUUGGCACCGUAUCAACAAUAUCAGCCCUGCAGGUUGUGUAACAAGACAAUGAUGCAACCCGUAGGGAUGAAGGUGGAGGUGCUGGUAGGAUGACAAAGUCCCACCACCCACAUACGAUGCAUUUAAAACUCUCCUGGUGAAAUAAAAGGCUAGAGCUUGAACCAGCCUAACCCUCUCCUGCCACAGGUUUUCAGACCAGAAGAAAGCACCGUGAUUCUCCAGCCUGACCUUUUGCACAGUACAGCUUACAUACAAUGAAUGCAUUAUCUAGUAAUUUUAAUCUACUACCUAACCAGAAGUGCUGACAGACUUGUAGGAAAUCAAACACCCAGUACUCAUCAGGGUGAUCUGCCCAGAUUAGGAUAAUGGCCAGCUAUGCCAUUGUGAUAGGUCCUGUGGGAAGGAAUUAUUGUAAUGUCGGUUAUAACUACAUGGUUAAGAUCAUGUUGACAUCCAUAUAUAAAGCAGCUGUAAAGUCAUUAUUUUAAACUCCAAUGAGCUUUAAAACUGGACACUCACAUGCAGCAGGCUAUGGAAUUUCCACAAUUUUUAAAGAAUAGAUUUGCAAGAAUACCACAUAAAAUACCUUAUUUUUAAAAUGCUUCAUUUUUCCUUAGAUCAUUUAAGUUUCGGUCUCUCAGGCCUCCAAAUGCUUGAUGACUUCUUCUUUAACACAUACAUUGAUGUACAGAUUACGAGAUGUUAGACACAGACCAUUUAAAUGCAUCAGUAAUCACUGCUCUUCACAUGGUACAGCAAGAGGGUUACACUAAGCUGCAACAUCAAGAAGGGCAGGAUGAAAGAGCCAGGGAACUACAGGUCUGUCAGCCUCACCUCCGUCCCCAGGACGACUAUGGAGCAAAUACUCAUGGAAGACAUUUCCAAGCACCUGAGGGACACAAAGAUGACUAAGAACAGCUGGUGUAAUGUGACUUUUCCAAGGCAAACCUUCGAUGGGACAGCUGGCUCAGCAGAGGAGGAAGAGCGGGACAGACACUGAGUCUGCAUUCCUUAUUGAACUUAAUAUAUCUGGAAUCUGACAUCUAGAAUGAUCCUGAGCAUGGUGAAGACAACGGUUUGUUUGGUUUGGAGCACUGCAUUUUCUAGAACACUAUUUCCAGUACAAUGAAUCUUGAAGAUAAGUAGUGCAUCCUGUCUACCUUCAUGUCAUGACGGUUUGCGCUGGGCUGGCCACUAAACCUUAAACCAGGACACUUCAGGUAAUGAAAUUAAGAAAAACAAAACAGGAAAAUAGCAAAAUGUUGGUUAUUACAUUUAAAAACAAAAAACCCACUCAGUUCUCUAAUUCUUGAAUCCAGAGGCACCGUACCCGCUUCUCUCAUCUCCUACCAUAAAUAUUUUCUAACUUAAUUUCUUUUCCCCAGCUGAAUUUUUGUCCUUUCAACUUAAUCCCAAGAUAUUUUUCAAUUGUUUAAAAUGACAGAAGAGCAAAAAAUUUCAGCCCUCUAUCAAUACAACUCAGAAUGACACUUCCACUACUGCAGCUGGGUCAGUGGUAACUUACAGGAAGGUUUCCUCCAAAAUUCCUUAGUGCUGACAUGGAAUAAAUGUUUUCACUCAUCACUCUCCACUGGAGAACUUACUUGUUGGCUUACAUAAAUCAAAGCUACUGGUGCUUUCUGUUUGUUUGUUUGUGAGGUUUUUUGUUGUUGCUGUUGUUGUUUGUGUUUUGUUAGGUCUUUUUAACCUGUUUUUUAACCAGUUUUUUCCAAAAGAUGGUUUCCUGGCAAGGCUACAUGAGUUGUAAAAAAAGAGUAUUCUGGUUAAGAUGUUAUUUGCACAGAACAGAGUUCAUAACUAAAAUAAGCAAGACCCUGGAACCUUCUCUGUGAAGAAAUUAAACUAAUGCUAUGCAUGUAUUUAUUA